AUCGUGUAGGCAUAGACUCUACUUCCCAUACACGUAUUAAUGCAUAUACUUUAAUCCUAGAAAAGGAUUUUCGAAUCGGUGAAAGAGAAAAAAUUAUUUGUUAUACAAAAAUUACAUGAUUUAAUCGGUAAAACAGGAGGCUUUAAGUUCCCCUUAAGACGGUCUUGAAUAUAAGAUCUGACUGUGAAUACCAGCCUACAUACAUUUUCUGACACUAUCGAUAAAAUUGUAUCGUUGAAAAACGGUGUAAUACAGGAUUGAACAAAUGCCAGAGAUGUCACAAAGCAAAGUGUAAAAUUUAAAUAUCUGAAUGGCGAACAGCGAGAAGUGGGGGUGCGCGAUGAACAGCAAGGGGAGCGUGCUACGCGGCGCGGUGGUUGACUUGUAUGUCAUUACUUCGGCAAUGGCUUUGGACGAAUGACAACGGGGAGAAUCAUGGGGAACACGCUACAGUUGAUUGGAAUCGGUACGUCGGUCCGGUUGGUCGGCGGAUAAGCCGGAUUCUAGUUAAUAUAAUAAAUCCUAAAUGUAUAAUAACACAGGCUGACAUGAAUUUUGAUCUAGAAAUGGACCCAUUAAACUAUUCCUCCUAUGGAUAGUCAGCAAGCUUCUAUCCUGAGGAUUUAGUAUAAAGACGAACCAC
This is a long non-coding RNA of Trachymyrmex septentrionalis, 643 nucleotides long. RefSeq lists it as uncharacterized. The record is from RefSeq and is a predicted model, not a curated record. The transcript is spliced from 4 exons. NCBI's taxonomy places the organism in Eukaryota, Metazoa, Arthropoda, Insecta, Hymenoptera, Formicidae.